UCGAGAAUCUUUCGCAAUGGGCGAAAGCCUGACGAAGCGACGCUGCGUGAGCGAUGAAGGCCUUCGGGUCGUAAAGCUCUUUCGCGUAGGAACAAGGAAAGGCCGUGAAUAACGGCAAAACUUGAGUGUACUACGAUAAGAAGCACCGGCUAACUCCGUGCCAGCAGCUGCGGUAAUACGGAGGGUGCAAGCAUUAAUCGGAAUUAUUGGGCGUAAAGGGCGCGUAGGCGGGUAAGUAAGUCAGAUGUGAAAUUCCGGGACUCAAUUCCGGAGCUGCAUUUGAAACUCCUUGUCUUGAGGAUUGGCGGAGAGAACGGAAUUCCACGUGUAGCGGUGAAAUGCGUAGAUAUGUGGAAGAACACCGGUGGCGAAAGCGGUUCUCUAGCUAAUAACUGACGCUGAGGCGCGAGAGCAAGGGGAUCAAACAGGAUUAGAUACCCCCGUAGUCC
This 449-nucleotide ribosomal RNA is filed under the name uncultured bacterium. RNAcentral's name for it is "bacterial SSU rRNA". It matches the Rfam family "Bacterial small subunit ribosomal RNA", at positions 355 to 796 of the family's 1533-position model. The record is from RNAcentral.